This 589-nucleotide ribosomal RNA is filed under the name uncultured bacterium. RNAcentral's name for it is "partial 16S ribosomal RNA". It matches the Rfam family "Bacterial small subunit ribosomal RNA", at positions 355 to 936 of the family's 1533-position model. The record is from RNAcentral.
UGGGGAAUUUUGGACAAUGGGGGGAAACCCUGAUCCAGCCAUCCCGCGUGUGCGAUGAAGGCCUUCGGGUUGUAAAGCACUUUUGGCAGGAAAGAAACGUCGCGGGUUAAUACCCCGCGAAACUGACGGUACCUGCAGAAUAAGCACCGGCUAACUACGUGCCAGCAGCCGCGGUAAUACGUAGGGUGCAAGCGUUAAUCGGAAUUACUGGGCGUAAAGCGUGCGCAGGCGGUUCGGAAAGAAAGAUGUGAAAUCCCAGAGCUUAACUUUGGAACUGCAUUUUUAACUACCGGGCUAGAGUGUGUCAGAGGGAGGUGGAAUUCCGCGUGUAGCAGUGAAAUGCGUAGAUAUGCGGAGGAACACCGAUGGCGAAGGCAGCCUCCUGGGAUAACACUGACGCUCAUGCACGAAAGCGUGGGGAGCAAACAGGAUUAGAUACCCUGGUAGUCCACGCCCUAAAACGAUGUCAACUAGCUGUUGGGGGCCUUCGGGCCUUGGUAGCGCAGCUAACGCGUGAAGUUGACCGCCUGGGGGAGUACGGUCGCAAGAUUAAAAACUCAAAGGAAUUGACGGGGGUCAUAGCUGUUUU